Molecule: ribosomal RNA, 491 nt
Filed under: uncultured bacterium
Lineage: Bacteria
Description: partial 16S ribosomal RNA
Rfam family: Bacterial small subunit ribosomal RNA
Source: RNAcentral
AGUGAACGCUGGCGGUAGGCCUAACACAUGCAAGUCGAACGGCAGCACAGUAAGAGCUUGCUCUUACGGGUGGCGAGUGGCGGACGGGUGAGGAAUACAUCGGAAUCUACUUUUUCGUGGGGGAUAACGUAGGGAAACUUACGCUAAUACCGCAUACGACCUACGGGUGAAAGCAGGGGAUCUUCGGACCUUGCGCGAUUGAAUGAGCCGAUGUCGGAUUAGCUAGUUGGCGGGGUAAAGGCCCACCAAGGCGACGAUCCGUAGCUGGUCUGAGAGGAUGAGCAGCCAAACUGGAAAUGAGACACGGUCCAGACCCCCAGGGGAGGGCGGAGGGGGGAAUUUUGGAAAAGGGGCGAAAGCCUGACCCAGCCAUCCCGGGGGGGUGAAGAAGGCCUGGGGGUGGGAAAGCCCUUUUGUGGGGAAAAAAAAGCAGCAGGUUAAACCCCCGCUGUUCGGACGGGACCAAAAAAAAAAGCCCCGGCGAACUGCGG